GCGAACGCUGGCGGCAGGCCUAACACAUGCCGGUCGAACGAACCUUUCGGGGUUAGUGGCGGACGGGUGAGUAACACGUGGGAACGUGCCUUUAGGUUCGGAAUAACUCAGGGAAACUUGUGCUAAUACCGAAUGUGCCCUUCGGGGGAAAGAUUUAUCGCCUUUAGAGCGGCCCGCGUCUGAUUAGCUAGUUGGUUGAGGUAAUGGCUCACCAAGGCGACGAUCAGUAGCUGGUCUGAGAGGAUGAUCAGCCACAUUGGGACUGAGACACGGCCCAAACUCCUACGGGAGGCAGCAGUGGGGAAUCUUGCGCAAUGGGCGAAAGCCUGACGCAGCCAUGCCGCGUGAAUGAUGAAGGUCUUAGGAUUGUAAAAUUCUUUCACCGGGGACGAUAAUGACGGUACCCGGAGAAGAAGCCCCGGCUAACUUCGUG
This 433-nucleotide ribosomal RNA is filed under the name uncultured bacterium. RNAcentral describes it as "partial 16S ribosomal RNA". It matches the Rfam family "Bacterial small subunit ribosomal RNA", at positions 29 to 507 of the family's 1533-position model. The record is from RNAcentral.